This 336-nucleotide unclassified non-coding RNA is filed under the name Hevea brasiliensis (rubber tree). Lineage: Eukaryota; Viridiplantae; Streptophyta; Magnoliopsida; Malpighiales; Euphorbiaceae. The record is from RNAcentral.
AAAAAAAAAAAAAGUGGCCGUUACGACCUUUACAUAAUGGUCAGUGACGGCCAGCCAUUAUAGUUGCAAUUUUAAAAAUCUUUUAAAUAACAGUAGUAACGGUAGCUGGACAAAGAUGCCUUUAAAUAAUGGCCAUUUUGUAACGUAACAACCUUUAUUUAACGUAAUGGCUGUUAUUUAAAACCUUGUAGAUCAGCUUAGUCUUUGGAGGGGCAGAGUAGAUUAGCAGGAUGGUGGUGAGUAGUGUAAGGGUGGAGACUAGAUAAGAGAGAGGAGGCUGUUGUUUUUGCAGCUGCUGUAGAGGAAGAGGAGUUUUUUUGAGGGGAUGAAGUGAAG